RNAcentral lists this ribosomal RNA (1053 nucleotides) under Melanops fagicola. RNAcentral's name for it is "SSU rRNA". It matches the Rfam family "Eukaryotic small subunit ribosomal RNA", at positions 41 to 1111 of the family's 1831-position model. The record is from RNAcentral. Lineage: Eukaryota; Fungi; Ascomycota; Dothideomycetes; Botryosphaeriales; Melanopsaceae.
AGAUAAGCCAUGCAUGUCUAAGUAUAAGCAAUCUAUACUGUGAACUGCGAAUGGCUCAUAAAUCAGUUAUCGUUUAUUUGAUAGUACGUACUACUGGAUACCGUGGUAAUCUAGAGCUAAUACAUGCUAAAACCCGACUUCGGGAGGGGUGUAUUUAUUAGAUAAAAAACCAAUGCCUUCUGGGCUCCUUGGUGAUUCAUGAUAACUUAACGAAUCGCAUGGCCCUUGCGCCGGCGAUGGUUCAUUCAAAUUUCUGCCCUAUCAACUUUCGAUGGUAGGAUAGUGGCCUACCAUGGUAUCAACGGGUAACGGGGAAUUAGGGUUCUAUUCCGGAGAGGGAGCGUGAGAAACGGCUACCACAUCCAAGGAAGGCAGCAGGCGCGCAAAUUACCCAAUCCCGACACGGGGAGGUAGUGACAAUAAAUACUGAUACAGGGCUCUUUUGGGUCUUGUAAUUGGAAUGAGUACAAUUUAAAUACCUUAACGAGGAACAAUUGGAGGGCAAGUCUGGUGCCAGCAGCCGCGGUAAUUCCAGCUCCAAUAGCGUAUAUUAAAGUUGUUGCAGUUAAAAAGCUCGUAGUUGAACCUUGGGCCUGGCUGGCCGGUCUGCCUCACCGCAUGUACUGGUUCGGCUGGGCCUUUCCUUCUGGGGAUCCGCAUGCCCUUCACUGGGUGUGCCGGGGAACCAGGACUUUUACUUUGAAAAAAUUAGAGUGUUCAAAGCAGGCCUUUGCUCGAAUACAUUAGCAUGGAAUAAUAGAAUAGGACGUGCGGUCCUAUUUUGUUGGUUUCUAGGACCGCCGUAAUGAUUAAUAGGGAUAGUCGGGGGCAUCAGUAUUCAAUUGUCAGAGGUGAAAUUCUUGGAUUUAUUGAAGACUAACUACUGCGAAAGCAUUUGCCAAGGAUGUUUUCAUUAAUCAGUGAACGAAAGUUAGGGGAUCGAAGACGAUCAGAUACCGUCGUAGUCUUAACCGUAAACUAUGCCGACUAGGGAUCGGGCGAUGUUAUUAUUUUGACUCGCUCGGCACCUUACGAGAAAUCAAAGUUUUUGGG